ACUGCGUUGUGCGGCGGAGCCUGUUCACACGUUCAAGCUGCAUUCGUAGCUUUCACCUCCUAAACCGAAGCGAUCGAUGCUGUCACCCUGUUUCAAUAGGUAAGUCCGGGGCAGUGGAGAUGACGGCGCUAGGGCGCUUUGACUACUCGGAGCUCCACCAGGGUGACUCCGAGUACGUCGGCAGCCUUUACUUUUGCCUUUUCAACGCAGGGGAGUAGCGGGGGCAUCUUGCAGGAGGUCCUUUUAGGAGGCUCACCGUCGAGGAAUCGAAGAUGAAUUUCGCUAAGAGUAACUGGGAAGAGUGAUCGGCGCUAAGAGGCGGCUGCAGAAAGUUCAGGAUUCACAGGGCAAGCCAGGGCGCUGUCUACUCGGAAGUAAACGCCACUCUGGCGGAGGGAGGCUUGCUCCCAGCUUUCUUAUCAGCACCUCCCCACCCCACUCCCGGCAAAAUUCCAGAGUCACUCCACAUUUGAAAGAUAAGUCAUGCAAAAUACUGCAAGCUACAAGAAUUCAUGUAGUAAUUAAGAUUUAAUUUUGUAUAAGCUUGUUGAAUUAUCAAGGUUGAAAAUUUUCUAGUCCAUCAGGCUUAUGAAGUCAAUUAAGAAUACAUUUUUUCCAUUAUAGCUAUCUGCUUUCUAAUUUUUAAUUAAUUUAUAUUGUUUUCACUGUAUGUUCUAAUGCAUAAUUGUUAUAUGCAUUUUAUGAUGUUUUUAUGAAUAGCAACAAAUAUAGUUAUUGAAAUAUAUACAUUUAUAAUUAAAUUACACUGUAAUACUAUAUUGAGAUAAAGUACCGCACCAUAUAAAUGAUUCUUUAUACAACUACAACACUGGAACACCUUUAAAAUUCACAUGAUACAAAUAAAAUACCUUUUGUUUCUUUAACAGAUGACAGCCAUCUUGGACUGGAGCAUAUUUCAGUGAUAUAAUAGUUACUCAUGAGUGGAGAGCAUUUUCCUGCCCCCUCUUACUGUUACAAGAUUGACACUGUACAGCACAUUUCUUCAGUGCCUUGCGAUUUUCUUUAAGCCACCCUUUUUAUUAUUCUUAGAACCAAAAGGACUGAUUCUUCUUCACUAUAUAACAUUUACAAGGCAAACAUACAGUACUUGGCUUUUACCUUGACGAAUUCAAUGCAAGCUCCCAUUUCUCAUGAAAAAUACCUCGGUUUCAUGUAGCAGGUAGGAAGUCCAUUUUUCCAUAAUUAAAAGGGAAUCAAAACAUCAAGAAACAGAAAGUUUGCUAAAUAAUAAUGGAUACUUACAGAAUUUUGGGGCUGCUGGGUUUCUUUUAAUUGGGAGCUAACCCUCCCAGUGUAAUUUACCUGAGGGAAAAUACAAUUCCUGAGGUAAUGAUUUUACCAAGUUUCACCCAAAGCUUCUAGUCCAGGCAAAUUCCAUCUGCCUUCUUGCACCUGCAUUAUCCUUUGCAUGCAGCAGUAUGCUUUGGUAUUGCAUGAUAUUAUGUAGAUCAAUAGGCUAGCAUAAUCCCCAGCACUAGCACAGGAGUUUCAGAGAGCAAGUCAAUAAGGUGGGGGUGGUACAAAAGAGAUGUGUGUUGGCAAAAGCAGAUUCCUUGGUCUCAGCAAGUGCUGCACCACAAUGGGAUGGAUCUACUGCAAUUUCUUAUUGUUUCUCCAACUCUUUAGAGAGAAUUAGUUUUUCACAGAAACUAAUAACUUAGAAAGGAUAAUGAACAAAGAUCUUCAUUGUAUUAUUGGGAAAUGCAGAACUAGGCAACCUAUUCAGACAAGCACAUCCACAGCUUUCCUGAAAAAUCCAAGCUAUAUUCUGUUAAGUAGUACAGUAAUAAGUAUGUUUGGGGAAAUUCAAAUUCAAGAUAUUGAGGAUAUUAUACAUUUUGCUUAAGACAACCCAGAGCUUUUUCAGCAAAAUGUUUCCCUGACACUUGGACAAGAGAUGGUAAAGUGUGACAUCAAAUCGUGUCAUAUGUUUAGAUGCUUUGCCAUUUCAAUUAUACAUAUUUGAAACUUCAUUUUUAUGUCAUUUUAAUCUGAUAUUUUUGAAACUUGUAUAUUAAGCACCUGUAUUAGGCAUUCUUCCUCUGCCACCAAAGGCAAUUGAAAAAUAGGUUAUGGUUUUUAAGAGAUGCUCUGCCCUAAAAUUUAAUUCGACAUGAGACAACAUGAACAAUGUAAUAUUAUAUAUGAGUUCUGAAAGCUAUUCUUCUUUAAUUUUCCUAAAAAUAUGUGCUAAAGAAAAAGUUUAAUAGUUCACAUUUUAAAAAUUGAGAUGGGUAAGAAUCAAAUGAGACAAAUAAAACAGUAAUGAAAAGUGAGGAAAGAAUGUGCAUUUAUUUAAAUACAUCAUAAUACACACACCCCGGUCCAUGUUUCAGACCUUGUUUUAGUUAGUUAUGGUCAUGUUAUAUUGUAUUUGUCUUGCAGCUCAUUUCCCCCCACUUCUACUCCUAGAUGGAAAUUCUUCAGUUAAGCUAUCUAAAAUGUACAUAAACACUUAUUAUUUCUAUUAUUUGUAUGAAUGUAAUUCUUCUUUUAAAGGCUAAAAUGAAAGCUGGAAGGUUUCCUUUUAAAAAUACAUUUCAUUGAAAAUGAAUUUUAGUGCUUGAAUAAAUUCUGCUAAGAGGAAUUUGAACUACAUGAAAAUAUUUGUUUAGGUCUUUAGAUUAAAAUGGAAAAUAAACUUCAGUUGUAAAAUGUUUAGAAUAACAUGCAGUAAAGCCACCCCAAACUGGAAACUAUUUGUUACAUUUGUUUUCUAAAGCAUUUUUUUUAAAGAAAAGAAAAAGAAAACUGUCUUCUAAUGAACGAUAGUAAUAGAAGCAACAUUACAGGUUCAAGGACCUGGUUUUAUUAUAUGCAGUACAAUCCUAUAUAUGUUGACUCAAACAUAUGCCCCACUAAAUUAAAUGAAAGUUACUCAUAGGGAAGUAUGUACUUUAUAGAACUGAAGCCUUAAUGAUCCGCGUAACUAAGCAAAUAUGCAUUUUACCAACUGCAUUUUAAAGCAGCUUUCCACAAAUCAGAUAACUAAAAAAGAAGUUAUGGGAUUAUUUUACUCUUUAAUUAUAUUACGGUCCUAUGAAAAGAAAUUAAAGCCUAUUCAAAACUGACAAAAUAGGUGAAAAAUAUAUAAUUUUUUUGCUUAUUUUUUCUCUAAACAUUGAGAAAUCAUUGUAGGCCAGUUUAUGAUUAAGGCAAACGUGGUUUAAACAACAGAGAUAGUUAUGCUAAUGCUUAAAUAUUCCUUUUUCAAUUAUACUGUAAUAGAAUUUAAACAUACUUCAUUUAAACUGGAUUGUACUGUAACCUUUGUUCAGAUCAGAAUCCAUGGGAUUUCCUUUACCAAAAUUAAUCAGGGUAAGAUUUUAGGUUUUAUCUUUUUUGUGUUAAAUCUUGAGUUUGAUUUUUUGUCACCUCUCUUUCUCGUUAAGGUAUUAAAAUUAUUCAGAUAGAUUAAGCCUAGUGAAACUACAGUUUGAAAUUAGCAUAGUUAAGAGAACCAAUCCAUUUAUAAAGUUCAUUAAUUUCAAUAUAUAUGCAGUCAAAUACAAUCUGUUUUAUUGAUAUUGAGAGAUCCAUAUCUCAGGAAUAUAUGCACUAGCAUCAAUGAGACUAUUUAUACCACCAGAGCCAAAAGGGUGACUUAAUUUAUUUACCGGGUAUCUAAUCAACAUUUGUUAGCAUUACAUAGUUUAGUCCAUUUAUAGCGCUCCAUUCCAAUUUACUUAAUGAGAGGCUAAAACUGGAUUCAGUUAUAUUAGUGUAGCUGCAUGGUCACAAACACAGAUUGCUAUUUUAAAGUAGAACUCAAUGAGCAACAACUUACCCCUCUCUUUAUCUCUUUUCCAAUGUCUAUUCAAAACAUACACCUAAAUUUCUUGGAUACCUUAAUGAAAAUAAAUCAAGGGCCUUCCACUUUUUAAUGAUUUUCUAAACAGCCUUUAAAUUAACAUUUAACAAUUAGUCAAUCAAAUACAUAACUGCAUUAAGUUUCCAUCUGAUUUUACAAGAACUGAACCAAUUUUAUUUAAGCCCAUAGCAUAGUCUCAAGAGAAGACACAUUUAAGAAGAGUUGCUUCUGGUAUUUUAAUAUUAGUAAAUGGUUGUAUUUAUAUUGACUUGGUAUGCAUGUGCAGUAAACCCAAACAUAUGAAGAAUAAUAUUGAUUUCUUGUCUAAUCAGCUAGGCAUGGUAAUUAAAAGACCUGGCUUAUCUUGUAAUUACAGUAUAUUCAAAUAUUAUUACCCAUGAUUAGAAAAUGAGCCUAUUAUUAUCUUGAUAACUGUAUAUUUUUGUACUCUUGUGAACCUUUGUCUAUGUGGCCUGCCACAAAUAUUGUUAACACAUUUAUUUCAGAAGUUAAACAUCAAGCUAAUUUUU
Long non-coding RNA from Podarcis raffonei (Aeolian wall lizard), 4362 nucleotides. RefSeq lists it as uncharacterized. Lineage: Eukaryota; Metazoa; Chordata; Lepidosauria; Squamata; Lacertidae. The transcript has 2 exons. The record is from RefSeq and is a predicted model, not a curated record.